This 650-nucleotide ribosomal RNA is filed under the name uncultured marine bacterium. RNAcentral's name for it is "bacterial SSU rRNA". It matches the Rfam family "Bacterial small subunit ribosomal RNA", at positions 72 to 703 of the family's 1533-position model. The record is from RNAcentral.
AGUCCCCUUCGGGGGGCGAGUAGAGUGGCGGAAGGGUGAGUAAUGCCUAGACAAUCUACCCUCGAGUUGGGGACAACAGCCGGAAACGGCUGCUAAUACCGAAUGUAGCCUCGUGAUCGCAUGGUCGUGAGGUGAAAGGUGGGUUUCGGCCUGUCGCUCGAGGAGGAGUCUAGGUCCUAUCAGCUUGUUGGUGAGGUAACGGCUCACCAAGGCUUUGACGGGUAGCCGACCUGAGAGGGUGACCGGCCACACUGGAACUGAGACACUGUCCAGACUCCUACGGGAGGCUGCAGUCGAGAAUCUUCGGCAAUGGACGAAAGUCUGACCGAGCGACGCCGCGUGGAGGAUGAAGGCCUUCGGGUUGUAAACUCCUGUCAGGAGUUAAGAAAUCCGGGUGUGUUAAUACCAUGCCCGGCUGACAAAAGCUCCAGAGGAAGUCAUGGCUAACUCUGUGCCAGCAGCCGCGGUAAUACAGAGAUGGCAAGCGUUGUUCGGAUUUACUGGGCAUAAAGGGCACGUAGGCGGAUUGGUAAGUCAGGUGUGAAAUCCCUCGGCUCAACCGAGGAACUGCGCCUGAUACUGUCAGUCUUGAGGGCAGGAGGGGAGAGUGGAACUCUUGGUGGAGCGGUGAAAUGCGUAGAUACCAAGAG